AAACUACUCACUCCGUCCAACAAAGUAUGUCUUAAGUUUCUCAAAAUUUGAAUGUAUGUAAAUUUGACUUAGUGUAUAGAUACAUUCAAAUUUAGUCAAAAUUGAGACAUCCUUUGUUGAACGGAGAAAGUAAAAU
Molecule: non-coding RNA, 136 nt
Organism: Brachypodium distachyon (stiff brome)
Lineage: Eukaryota; Viridiplantae; Streptophyta; Magnoliopsida; Poales; Poaceae
Source: Rfam